Diceros bicornis minor is the source of this 314-nucleotide long non-coding RNA. RefSeq lists it as uncharacterized. Lineage: Eukaryota; Metazoa; Chordata; Mammalia; Perissodactyla; Rhinocerotidae. The transcript is spliced from 2 exons. The record is from RefSeq and is a predicted model, not a curated record.
AACAAUGGCUGCCGCCAAUGUCCCAGUCCCUGGAGAGGUCUCUCUUCUCACCGAGAUGCACUCAGGGCCUAUCAGCAGAUUGUCCUCCAUAAUGUGGAUAGGCCUCACCCAACCAGUUGAAGGCCCGAAUAGAACAAAAAGACCAGCCUUCCCAAGCAAGAGGGAAUUCGCCAGUAGACUCUCUUUGGACUUCAUCUGCACCAAUGGUUCUCUUGGGUCUCCAGCCUACCAGCCCACACUGCAGAUUUUGGACUCACCAGCCUCCAUAACUGUGUGAGCCAAUUCCUUAUAAUAAAUCUCUUCCUAUAUGUACA